Molecule: ribosomal RNA, 445 nt
Filed under: uncultured bacterium
Lineage: Bacteria
Description: bacterial SSU rRNA
Rfam family: Bacterial small subunit ribosomal RNA
Source: RNAcentral
UCCAGACUCCUACGGGAGGCAGCAGUGGGGAAUAUUGCACAAUGGGGGAAGCCCUGAUGCAGCGACGCCGCGUGAGUGAAGAAGUAUUUCGGUAUGUAAAGCUCUAUCAGUAGGGAAGAAAAUGACGGUACCUGACUAAGAAGCCCCGGCUAACUACGUGCCAGCAGCCGCGGUAAUACGUAGGGGGCAAGCGUUAUCCGGAUUCACUGGGUGUAAAGGGAGCGUAGACGGCCAUGCAAGCCUGGAGUGAAAGCCCGGGGCCCAACCCCGGGACUGCUCUGGGAACUGUGCGGCUGGAGUGCGGGAGGGGCAGGCGGAAUUCCUGGUGUAGCGGUGAAAUGCGUAGAUAUCAGGAGGAACACCGGCGGCGAAGGCGGCCUGCUGGACCGCGACUGACGUUGAGGCUCGAAAGCGUGGGGAGCAAACAGGAUUAGAUACCCCGGUA